Molecule: ribosomal RNA, 270 nt
Filed under: uncultured bacterium
Lineage: Bacteria
Description: partial 16S ribosomal RNA
Rfam family: Bacterial small subunit ribosomal RNA
Source: RNAcentral
UCGGACAAAGAUUACCACUUAGUGGCAGACGGGUGAGUAACACGUGGGUAAUCUACCUCAGGGACUGGGACAACAGUUGGAAACGACUGCUAAUACCGGAUGAUUCAUAUUUACAAAAGUAAAUAUGCUAAAAGGGGCUUCGGCCUCACCUUGAGAUGAGCUUGCGGUGUAUUAGCUAGUUGGUGGGGUAAUGGCCUACCAAGGCAACGAUGCAUAUCCGAGCUGAGAGGCUGAUCGGACACAUUGGGACUGAGACACGGCCCAGACUCC